UCAUAUUGAUCCUAGAAGACGAAGGUUGCGUGUCUAAGACAAUGCACGAAGGGGAGGUACCCCCAAGCGGGUGACCCGAGUCACCCGACAUGCUAAGCCCAACCCGCAGCUUAGCAAGCUACAUGCUUGAGGAAAACAUACAGCCCAUGCUGCAUGCCCCAUCAGGUAGGCCGACCGUGGCCCAUCAGGAAGACCCAAAGAUUAGCCCUGAUCUUGAGGUCUGAUCUAGCGGACUCGCACCCAAGGGAGAAGGAACCAGGCCAAAUGCCCGACCUAGCAACAGUCGUUGGCCCAGCCGAGGAGAAACCCGAGUGGGCCGCAGAGCGGUGAGGCCGAAAGGCCGCUCGCACACAUACGGGCUUCAAUAACCUGCACAGGUGAGGGGUGUGUGUGUGGUAAGUUUCGAACUUCUUUCCUUCACAUGGCCCAUGUGAUUUUUUAGCCUAAA
Molecule: long non-coding RNA, 448 nt
Filed under: Carica papaya (papaya)
Lineage: Eukaryota; Viridiplantae; Streptophyta; Magnoliopsida; Brassicales; Caricaceae
Description: long non-coding RNA (CPAP_LNC009392)
Source: RNAcentral